RNAcentral lists this ribosomal RNA (459 nucleotides) under uncultured bacterium. RNAcentral's name for it is "partial 16S ribosomal RNA". It matches the Rfam family "Bacterial small subunit ribosomal RNA", at positions 338 to 795 of the family's 1533-position model. The record is from RNAcentral.
CCUACGGGAGGCAGCAGUGAGGAAUAUUGGUCAAUGGCCGGAAGGCUGAACCAGCCAAGCCGCGUGAAGGACGAAGGUGCCAAGCAUUGUAAACUUCUUUUGCCAAGGGACAAAAUCAGGCUCGAGAGCCUGACCGAGGGUACGUGAAGAAAAAGCAACGGAUAACUCCGUGCCAGCAGCCGCGGUAAUACGGAGGAUGCGACCUUAAUCCGGAUUUAUUGGGGUGAAAGGGGGCGUGGGGGGACGGUUAAGUAAGCGGUAAAAGCCCGGGGUUCAACCCCGGCGAGCCGUUGCAACUGGCUGUCUUGAGAUGUCGAGAGGUAGGCGGAAUGCGCAGUGUAGCGGUGAAAUGCUUAGAUAUUGCGCAGAACUCCGAUGGCGAAGGCAGCAUACCGGCGGCGAUCUGACGCUGAGGCACGAAAGCGUGGGUAUCGAACAGGAUUAGAUACCCGGGUAGUC